This 406-nucleotide ribosomal RNA is filed under the name uncultured bacterium. RNAcentral describes it as "partial 16S ribosomal RNA". It matches the Rfam family "Bacterial small subunit ribosomal RNA", at positions 30 to 526 of the family's 1533-position model. The record is from RNAcentral.
AUUGAACGCUGGCGGCAGGCCUAACACAUGCAAGUCGAACGAGUGGCGGACGGGUGAGUAAUGUCUGGGAAACUGCCUGAUGGAGGGGGAUAACUACUGGAAACGGUAGCUAAUACCGCAUACCAUCGGCUUUGCCCAGAUGGGAUUAGCUCGUUGGUGGGGUAACGGCUCACCUAGGCGACGAUCCCUAGCUGGUCUGAGAGGAUGAACGGCCACACUGGGACUGAGACACGGUCCAGACUCCUACGGGAGGCAGCAGUGGGGAAUAUUGGACAAUGGGCGAAAGCCUGAUGCAGCCAUGCCGCGUGUGUGAAGAAGGCCUUCGGGUUGUAAAGUACUGUCAGCGGGGAGGCGGUACCCGAAGAAGAAGCACCGGCUAACUCCGUGCCAGCAGCCGCGGUAAUUC